ACUUGGUGUUACUGCGAAGGGGGGACGGAGAAGGCUAUGUUGGCCGGGCGACGGUUGUCCCGGUUUAAGCGUGUAGGCUGGUUUUCCAGGCAAAUCCGGAAAAUCAAGGCUGAGGCGUGAUGACGAGGCACUACGGUGCUGAAGCAACAAAUGCCCUGCUUCCAGGAAAAGCCUCUAAGCAUCAGGUAACAUCAAAUCGUACCCCAAACCGACACAGGUGGUCAGGUAGAGAAUACCAAGGCGCUUGAGAGAACUCGGGUGAAGGAACUAGGCAAAAUGGUGCCGUAACUUCGGGAGAAGGCACGCUGAUAUGUAGGUGAAGUCCCUCGCGGAUGGAGCUGAAAUCAGUCGAAGAUACCAGCUGGCUGCAACUGUUUAUUAAAAACACAGCACUGUGCAAACACGAAAGUGGACGUAUACGGUGUGACGCCUGCCCGGUGCCGGAAGGUUAAUUGAUGGGGUUAGCCGCAA
This 471-nucleotide ribosomal RNA is filed under the name Escherichia coli. Its description in RNAcentral is "partial 23S ribosomal RNA". It matches the Rfam family "Bacterial large subunit ribosomal RNA", at positions 1443 to 1898 of the family's 2925-position model. Lineage: Bacteria; Pseudomonadati; Pseudomonadota; Gammaproteobacteria; Enterobacterales; Enterobacteriaceae. The record is from RNAcentral.